RNAcentral lists this ribosomal RNA (253 nucleotides) under uncultured bacterium. RNAcentral's name for it is "partial 16S ribosomal RNA". It matches the Rfam family "Bacterial small subunit ribosomal RNA", at positions 524 to 776 of the family's 1533-position model. The record is from RNAcentral.
UACGAAGGGGGCUAGCGUUGCUCGGAAUUACUGGGCGUAAAGCGCACGUAGGCGGCUUUCUAAGUCGGGGGUGAAAUCCUGGAGCUCAACUCCAGAACUGCCUUCGAUACUGGAAAGCUCGAGUCCGGGAGAGGUGAGUGGAGCUGCGAGUGUAGAGGUGAAAUUCGUAGAUAUUCGCAAGAACACCAGUGGCGAAGGCGGCUCACUGGCCCGGUACUGACGCUGAGGUGCGAAAGCGUGGGGAGCAAACAGG